CUGGUUGCUAAAGACACGGGCUGCUGCUGCUGCUGCUGCUGAUGCUGCUGGGGCGGAGGGUCCAGGCCAUGCUCGCCUUGCAUCAGAUGAUCAUGCCUUUCUGCAGAGACCCACGUUUUGGAGUCACUGGGAGCAGACACGCUCUGAUUCCAGUGAUCGAGGGCAGAGAUGAGCCCUGCUGUUGAUAAGACUGAAGAGCAAAGGCCCAGCUGGACCUUGAC
Maylandia zebra (zebra mbuna) is the source of this 221-nucleotide non-coding RNA. The record is from RefSeq and is a predicted model, not a curated record. NCBI's taxonomy places the organism in Eukaryota, Metazoa, Chordata, Actinopteri, Cichliformes, Cichlidae.